This is a long non-coding RNA of Salvia splendens (bonfire salvia), 344 nucleotides long. RefSeq lists it as uncharacterized. The record is from RefSeq and is a predicted model, not a curated record. NCBI's taxonomy places the organism in Eukaryota, Viridiplantae, Streptophyta, Magnoliopsida, Lamiales, Lamiaceae. The transcript has 3 exons.
CUCUCCACUACCCAAACCCUAGAAAUCUACCUCCCCAGCGGCGCGUUUGGAGAUUUUGGAUUUUGUCGACCAAAUUUUCGGAGGGAAUUAGCUUUCAACGCUGAAAUCGACUCGGAAACACCGACUACUUUCUAAUAGAUCGAAAAUGCCGAAGAGGGGUCGUCCGCUAUCGCAAGUAACAGAGGCUGCAGAGAAGCGAGUAAGAUCUGAACUCGACGAUGCAGUUGAUGAUUUAAUUCCGGUAGCGUUGGCACAAAAGUUGAGGGAUCGGUUGGCAGCUGCUGCCCCUAGUAGCUCAGCAGGUGAUGUUCAACAGACACAAGUUAAGGGAAGAAAGACUGAUC